RNAcentral lists this ribosomal RNA (670 nucleotides) under Staphylococcus aureus. RNAcentral describes it as "bacterial SSU rRNA". It matches the Rfam family "Bacterial small subunit ribosomal RNA", at positions 167 to 824 of the family's 1533-position model. The record is from RNAcentral. Lineage: Bacteria; Bacillati; Bacillota; Bacilli; Caryophanales; Staphylococcaceae.
UACCGGAUAAUAUUUUGAACCGCAUGGUUCAAAAGUGAAAGACGGUCUUGCUGUCACUUAUAGAUGGAUCCGCGCUGCAUUAGCUAGUUGGUAAGGUAACGGCUUACCAAGGCAACGAUGCAUAGCCGACCUGAGAGGGUGAUCGGCCACACUGGAACUGAGACACGGUCCAGACUCCUACGGGAGGCAGCAGUAGGGAAUCUUCCGCAAUGGGCGAAAGCCUGACGGAGCAACGCCGCGUGAGUGAUGAAGGUCUUCGGAUCGUAAAACUCUGUUAUUAGGGAAGAACAUAUGUGUAAGUAACUGUGCACAUCUUGACGGUACCUAAUCAGAAAGCCACGGCUAACUACGUGCCAGCAGCCGCGGUAAUACGUAGGUGGCAAGCGUUAUCCGGAAUUAUUGGGCGUAAAGCGCGCGUAGGCGGUUUUUUAAGUCUGAUGUGAAAGCCCACGGCUCAACCGUGGAGGGUCAUUGGAAACUGGAAAACUUGAGUGCAGAAGAGGAAAGUGGAAUUCCAUGUGUAGCGGUGAAAUGCGCAGAGAUAUGGAGGAACACCAGUGGCGAAGGCGACUUUCUGGUCUGUAACUGACGCUGAUGUGCGAAAGCGUGGGGAUCAAACAGGAUUAGAUACCCUGGUAGUCCACGCCGUAAACGAUGAGUGCUAAGUGUU